This 457-nucleotide ribosomal RNA is filed under the name uncultured soil bacterium. RNAcentral's name for it is "bacterial SSU rRNA". It matches the Rfam family "Bacterial small subunit ribosomal RNA", at positions 26 to 496 of the family's 1533-position model. The record is from RNAcentral.
AGAGUGAACGCUGGCGGUAGGCCUAACACAUGCAAGUCAAACGGCAGCACAGGAGAGCUUGCUCUCUGGGUGGCGAGUGGCGGACGGGUGAGGAAUACAUCGGAAUCUACCUUUUCGUGGGGGAUAACGUAGGGAAACUUACGCUAAUACCGCAUAAGACCUUCGGGUGAAAGCCGGGGACCUUCGGGCCUGGCGCGGAUAGAUGAGCCGAUGUCGGAUUAGCUUGUUGGCGGGUAAAAGCCCACCAAGGCGACGAUCCGUAGCUGGUCUGAGAGGAUGAUCAGCCACACUGGAACUGAGACACGGUCCAGACUCCUACGGGAGCAGCAGUGGGAAUAUUGGACAAUGGGCGCAAGCCUGAUCCAGCCAUACCGCGUGGGUGAAGAGGCCUUCGGUUGUAAAGCCUUUUAGUGGUAAAGAAUCCGUAGUCCGGUUAAAUAACCUAAGUACGGAUAGG